Molecule: ribosomal RNA, 408 nt
Filed under: uncultured bacterium
Lineage: Bacteria
Description: partial 16S ribosomal RNA
Rfam family: Bacterial small subunit ribosomal RNA
Source: RNAcentral
GACGACAGCUGGCGGCGUGCCUAAUACAUGCCAGUCGAGCGAAGCGGCGGAUGGGUGAGUAACGCGUGGGUAACCUGCCCUUAAGUAUGGGAUAACAUUUGGAAACAGAUGCUAAUACCGGAUACUAAAGGAUGGACCUGCGCUGCAUUAUCUAGUUGGUAAGGUAACGGCUUACAAAGGCGAUGAGGAAGAGCCGGUUGUAGCGAAUAGUCCGCCACAUUGGGACUGAGACACGGCCCAAACUCCUACGGGAGGCAGCAGUAGGGAAUCUUCCACAAUGGGCGCAAGCCUGAUGCAGCCAUGCCGCGUGUAUGAAGAAGGCCUUCGGGUUGUAAAGUACUUUCAGCGAGGAGGCGUUACUCGCAGAAGAAGCACCGGCUAACUCCGUGCCAGCAGCCGCGGUAAUAC